AUGUAUUAUGAAGGAGCAGAUGAGGAAAUACAGAGAGAGGUGGUUGGGACUCAUCGGGAAGAAAGUGUCAGCCUCAACAGCAACCAUUCAGUUCUUCCCAGUACAGUUUCUGCUCAGAGCACAGAACUAAAUCAUAAAACACAAGAAAGCUACAGAGCAUUGCCAGGUGGCUUACAGAGCCAGUCUGUGGCUAUAGGUCCAACAGAAAUCAAGUCUGAACAUAAGGAGAAGGAUGAAAAUAUACAUGAACCCCCCUCAUCGGAUGACAUGAAAUCAGAUGAUGAGUCCUCCCAGAAGGAUAUCAAGGUCUCAUCUAGAGGCAGAACAAGCAGUACUAAUGAAGAUGAGGAUUUAAACCCAGAGCAGAAAAUAGAAAGAGAAAAGGAGAGGAGAAUGGCAAAUAACGCUAGAGAACGUUUGCGCGUACGAGAUAUUAAUGAGGCAUUUAAAGAACUUGGCCGUAUGUGUCAGCUUCACCUGAAGAGUGAAAAACCACAGACGAAACUGCUUAUUCUUCACCAGGCUGUGGCAGUCAUCCUCAGUCUAGAGCAGCAAGUGAGAGAACGAAACCUAAACCCUAAAGCAGCCUGCCUUAAGAGAAGGGAAGAAGAAAAAGUUUCUGCCGUAUCGGCAGAGCCGCCAACACCACACCCAGGAAGCCACCCUGGUCUGAGUGAAACUACCAACCCUAUGGGUCAUAUGUGAACACCAGCCAGAACUAUUGGCAGGAUACACAGAAGGUGACCUUUCUUCACAAGGACACAGACAACUAACAUUAUAUGAAGACACAAACCUGACAGGAGAAAACACUUGAAGCAAAGAAACCCAAAUGCAAUCUUAUGAUCAAAGCUACUGGUCAACACCUGCAUCAGGAUUGAAGAUACAAGAUCUUCAGAUUGAAUUUCAGCCCAUGAAAUGCUCUGAACAUAUCAUUCUGUUGCAAGCAGUGUGUCGCUUCUGCACAAUCAGAGACUGUUGUGAUCUCUCCACUCAUUGUGGAAGUUGCCUUGUGCCUAAACUGAAUUGACAAAUGCAUUGUAACUACAAAUUUUAUUUAUUGUUAUGGAACUGUAAAGGUCUACAUAUAAAGGGAAAAGUUAACAUGUUAAAAGCUGAUAAAACUUCAGCUGGAUGCCAGCAUUUACUAAAGCUGUUCACAUUCAGAGAACAAAGCAGUGACAACCGUCGACCCGUAGCAUUCCCAGCAUACCUAUUAGUGUCUUAAAAAAGGAAGGGAAAAGUCUUUUGUUGUCCUUUCCUCUCCUUUUGCCAUAUGACUAGUGUUUUCCAUGCAAUAGGAAACUAUUCUUUGGUAUAGCUUUUUUUAUGUUAUUUUUGGUCUCUGGUAACCUGAACAGUUAUGGUCAUAGGUACCCUUCCAUACUGAGCUCCAUGCUUCAAGCCGGGAAGAGCCCUCGUGAAGGCUGCAGGCAGGAGCAAUACUGUGACCAUAACAUCUCUUGGAUUUAAGAAGUGAUUUUUAUUUUCCCUCAGACUUUCCUCAAACUUUUUUUUUUUUCUAAUUAUAAACAAAACCUUUUUAGGCUUCUAGGCUUCAUAGUAAAGCUUGUAACGUGAAGUGUAAAUUGGGUGGGGAGAAUCUACUUUGUUAGAGUUGCUUUGUUUUCCGAGCAGUAAGUACUACAUAUAGUACAUGUAAAGUGUUAGCUGUACGUAAGCACAAAAUGCAUUAAAAUACAAAGGAGAUUUUUUUCAGGCUGUAAUUUUGGUGAAUAGUAAAAUCCUAAAUUCACCAUGGCAGGUAGUGUGAUGAUAUAGCCACCAGUAAGGUGGGCUUCCUUACAUAAUGGAGUAUAAGAGCAAUGGUCACCAGUUUUUUCUUACUGUAUACAUUAAUUAUCUUGUCAUCUUUGUAUGGCUUGUCAGUGGAGAAAAAAAAAAAUAGUGUGAAUCAAAUGCAAACUAAUGCCCCCUCCCAAGCCAUAUUAGCAUUAAACCUUUCAAUGUUUCUCUACCAGAACAGUGUCCAUAAGUAUUCCUUUGUCACAGAUGUGUUGAAAUGGUUAAAAUCCUUUUGAACUUCCAUGGAAACUGUCUUCCACUGCAAUGACCAUGGGAGGAAAUUUCCUCAGCCAAGGUUGUCUGAGCUAUUGUUUAUAUAGUGCAUCUUUCAUCACUGGCAAUUGGUUCACACACAAAACAGGAACAAACCAGUAAUUUUUAUGAAGUCAUUUCAUUUGGAAGAACAAAAGAUGGAUUGUUAAAAUAAACUAAUGAAUUUAAGCUCAUGUUUUGGAUGGUUCCUAACAAAACAGUUUGUGGAAUUAGUGGACUCAUUUCUAUUACUUUAAUUUGCAUAUAUCAUCAAAUAACACCUGAUUAUAUCUGUGGCCUUGUUCUUCAUUUCAGUGUUUAUCAGCUAAACAAAUUUGUUGCUUAUGACGUGUGAAAGUGAUCACGUGCCACUGCCUGGCCUUUUUCCUUCUAAGCUUGUUGUCUUUUUGGCUAUAUUAGACUUUGCAGUAUGCCCAGAAGCUUUCCUUCAUAAAAUAGAAAGAAAAAAACAUUUGGCUUAUUUUUCACUGUAGCUAGUCUUUUAUACAAUAAUCUUGUAAGAAAAUUUCUUGAAUUCUAAAUAUUACUCUUUCUAGAUUUUUGAAAUCAAAAAAGUUUUCAGUAAAAAGUUUCUUACUUUAUUUUACUAUAUUAGGUAGUAAAAAUGUAGGGUUAUUUACCAUAACCUGUUCAUUAAUAUCAGAAAUUUACAAUAGCAUUGUAAGACCAUAGUAGGGUUCUAGCAUACCGUGUAGUACCUAUGGAGUAUUGUAAGAGCUAAUUGUCCGAGAUGAAUUGCUUCUCAUCUUGUUCUCCAGUUUCCAUUGUUGGUUUAUUGCAGAUUUGUACCCUGUGUCAAAUUUCAAGGUAUUGCUGAUAAACCUUUCCAACCAGCAGCAAGAAGUUCAAAAAAAUUUCUGUCAAUGUAACAGAAAACACUAUGUAUAUAACAUUUAUGUAGCAAUAAAUGUGCCAUCUUUUUUUAACAUGGUAAA
This is an RNA transcript of Phaethon lepturus (White-tailed tropicbird), 3011 nucleotides long. It is a transcript of the gene named transcription factor 12-like, with no coding region annotated. Lineage: Eukaryota; Metazoa; Chordata; Aves; Phaethontiformes; Phaethontidae. The transcript has 6 exons. The record is from RefSeq and is a predicted model, not a curated record.